Molecule: non-coding RNA, 28 nt
Filed under: Mus musculus (house mouse)
Lineage: Eukaryota; Metazoa; Chordata; Mammalia; Rodentia; Muridae
Source: RNAcentral
UGAAGACUCAACGGCUAGAUGUUGCCAA